UGGUACAUACGGUGUUGUACAAUGUGCUGUAAGCCACCAAAACCCGAAAUUCUCGAGAGGACAUAUAACUGCCAAUCAGGUGGCAUUUGCCAUCGCUUGCGAAAACCAGAAUCCGAAGUUGAUUUGACAUUUUCAGAGUCUUCAAUGUCAAUCAAUUGAAGGAACAAUGGACGCUGCUGAAACUUGGCAUCAUGGAGCGCAUCAUCGUUCAUUAAUCCCAUUAAAAGAAUAGCCAGCAACAAUACCAACAAUUUGCAAAUACGAACAUGUCGGGAAGGCAUUGUUUUCAGACUGCUGUCCUGGGCGUCUUCAAAUGUUGAUGUGAGUUAAAAGAAUACAUUGAAAUAUUCCGACGCUCUCACCAGGGGUCCAUUCUGCGCAGUAUGUACGCAGGUUAUUCUCACUUAUUGCACAGCAUGUUUGAACGCUAUCCCAGGGGAUAUGGUUGCGGGCUAGCAGUGACCAUGCUGAACGAAGCGGGUCAUUUAACCUUUACUCAAGGUGUUCUUGUUUCAAUAUGUUCAUUUUUCAUAAUUUACCUUACCGGUGGUGUGAUAUAUAGGUUAUAUCUUUCCCCAUUGGCAAAGUUCCUAGGGCCGAAGUUAGCAGCCGCGACGCUAUGGUAUGAAUUUUAUUAUGAUGCUGUUCGCAGGGGCCGAUACACGUUCAAGAUUAAGGAGCUACAUCAAAAAUAUGGGCCAAUCGUCCGGAUUAGCCCAUACGAAUUACAUAUAGAUGAUCCUGACUAUUACCGUGUGCUAUAUUCGUAUAGCUCUCCGCGGGAUAAGUACCCAUAUUAUCUGAAACCAUUCGGAUUUCCGCUAUCCGCCUUUGGAACGGAG
RNAcentral lists this small RNA (842 nucleotides) under Histoplasma capsulatum var. duboisii H88. Its description in RNAcentral is "Histoplasma capsulatum H88 hypothetical RNA". The record is from RNAcentral. Lineage: Eukaryota; Fungi; Ascomycota; Eurotiomycetes; Onygenales; Ajellomycetaceae.